GGGGGUGUGGCUCGGAUGGCCGGGGCGCAGGCUUUCAGUGCGGGUUGCCGCGGGUUCGACUCCUGUCGCCUCUG
RNAcentral lists this transfer RNA (74 nucleotides) under Streptomyces antibioticus. Its description in RNAcentral is "tRNA-Sec". Lineage: Bacteria; Bacillati; Actinomycetota; Actinomycetes; Kitasatosporales; Streptomycetaceae. The record is from RNAcentral.